RNAcentral lists this long non-coding RNA (1173 nucleotides) under Gallus gallus (chicken). RNAcentral's name for it is "long non-coding RNA NONGGAT006585". Lineage: Eukaryota; Metazoa; Chordata; Aves; Galliformes; Phasianidae. The record is from RNAcentral.
UUUGAUUCUAUAAUAGUGGGUCUAUGAGUCUGUGAUUCUAUAUUUGCUCUGAAGAGUUUGCUGUCAGUUUUUCUGAUGAGCUUUCAGGCAUUGCCAAUCAACUCUCAGUCCCUUAUAAUACGGUGAUUAAGUAACAAAUUUCUUACGUAAGGCUGGAGAGAAGAGUGUAACACGAAGGCUCCUCCUGCCAAAAGCAUCUGAACCUCCACAAGAGGGCUCCGUGGCCAUGGGUAUGCUCUGUGGCUGUGCUCCUGCUCAGAUAAAGGCUCCGCAGUGAGGGAAUCAGAAAUACACGAGAGCUCGCAAACAGCCCUAUCCCUGUUCAGCUAGUUCAGAGCAUCCCUUGUGGAAAAGGAGGCAGAUAAGAUCUGAUUUUUUAGAUAGAAAUUAAGGAAGCAUACUUCACAUCAGUUGUAAUUACCACUGCAAGUAAUGUCCCACACAUUUAUUGUUUCCAUUCAGAGGUGUCUUUAAAAAUGGACAAAACCCUGAUGUGAAUAAGAAAAUAAACUGCAGGAAAUCCAUUGAAAAGGUACUGCAGCCAAACAGAUGGUUGCAUUUGAUGCCUUGAGGCCUAUUCUGCACUGACUCAACUGGUUAUGAUGUGCAGUUCUACUGGAAUGAAGCUGCUGACCAUCAGGAGGGUUUUGAAGACAAGUACCAAGGAAGGAGUUGUGUUCCUGAGCAGAACUUUGCACGAGGACUCCAUUAUAUGUUUUGGUUCGUUAUCUCCUGACAUAACAGUUCUGUUGGCCCAGGAUGUGGUUUAUCUUAUCACAUAGAGAUGAUACCCUGUCAAGAUAUGCUCCAGUUUCUGGGAACAAUUGUUCUAUUGUGCUUGGAGAAUGCCUGGGACAACAUGCUAUUGCCCACUGGCAGAGCCUUACAGGGUCUGAUGGCACAAAGCAACCAUGAAUAAAUGGACAGUGGGACCAAAAUGCAAAGGAAAAUUGAUGGAACCACCUCAGAGGAGCUUAUUGCUGAAAACUGUUCUCAGUAAAUUGUUGAAAGAUUACUGAAACUGAAAACAAGAGUCCCCACAUGAUUAUUUGUGCAAUAGCCAGCAUAACAGGACAUGAACAUGGAUCUGAAACUCUGAAAAUCAGAGGGUUAAGGCUGUUCACACCACUAUUAAACCGAGGUCUGGAGAUACCCAGCAUAUUGAAUCCAAGC